Small nuclear RNA from Budorcas taxicolor (takin), 105 nucleotides. Lineage: Eukaryota; Metazoa; Chordata; Mammalia; Artiodactyla; Bovidae. The record is from RefSeq and is a predicted model, not a curated record.
GUGCUCAUGUUAGCACCACAUAUACUAAAAUUGGAACAAUAGAGAAGAUUAGCAUGGCCCCUGUGCAAGGAUAACAUGCAACUUCAUGAAGCAUUCCAUAUUUUU